GCCAGGUGUGGUGGCUCACACCUGUAAUCCCAGCACUUUGGGAGGCUGAGGUGGGCGGAUCACCUGAGGUCAGGAGUUUGAGACCAGCCUGGCCAACAUGGUGAAACCCCGUCUCUA
This 117-nucleotide small RNA is filed under the name Pongo abelii (Sumatran orangutan). RNAcentral's name for it is "Metazoan signal recognition particle RNA (ENSPPYG00000041572.1)". The record is from Rfam by way of RNAcentral. Lineage: Eukaryota; Metazoa; Chordata; Mammalia; Primates; Hominidae.